Molecule: ribosomal RNA, 253 nt
Filed under: uncultured bacterium
Lineage: Bacteria
Description: partial 16S ribosomal RNA
Rfam family: Bacterial small subunit ribosomal RNA
Source: RNAcentral
UACAGAGGGGGCAAGCGUUGUUCGGAAUUACUGGGCGUAAAGGGCGCGUAGGCGGCCUGCUAAGUCGAACGUGAAAUCCCCGAGCUCAACUCGGGAACUGCGUCCGAUACUGGCAGGCUUGAAUCCGGGAGAGGGAUGCGGAAUUCCAGGUGUAGCGGUGAAAUGCGUAGAUAUCUGGAGGAACACCGGUGGCGAAGGCGACAUCCUGGACCGGUAUUGACGCUGAGGCGCGAAAGCCAGGGGAGCAAACGGG